Sorex araneus (European shrew) is the source of this 165-nucleotide small nuclear RNA. Its record names the gene U1. It matches the Rfam family "U1 spliceosomal RNA". From Rfam's summary of the family: U1 is a small nuclear RNA (snRNA) component of the spliceosome (involved in pre-mRNA splicing). Its 5' end forms complementary base pairs with the 5' splice junction, thus defining the 5' donor site of an intron. There are significant differences in sequence and secondary structure between metazoan and yeast U1 snRNAs, the latter being much longer (568 nucleotides as compared to 164 nucleotides in human). NCBI's taxonomy places the organism in Eukaryota, Metazoa, Chordata, Mammalia, Eulipotyphla, Soricidae. The record is from Ensembl.
AUACUUACCUGGCAGGGGAAUGUCCAUGAUCACGAAGGUGGUUUUUCCCAGAGCGAGGUUUGUCCAUUGCAGUACGGAUGUGCUGACCCCUGCUAUGUCCCCAAAUGUGGAAAAUUUGACUGCAGAAUUUGUGGUAGUGGGGAACUGCGUUUGCACUCUCCCCUG